GCAUUGGUGGUUUAGUGAUUAAUCUUUUGCCUGCCAUGUUGGGGGACUAGGUUCUAUUCCUACCCAGUGCA
Molecule: non-coding RNA, 71 nt
Organism: Pangasius djambal
Lineage: Eukaryota; Metazoa; Chordata; Actinopteri; Siluriformes; Pangasiidae
Source: the annotation of a GenBank genome assembly